This 473-nucleotide ribosomal RNA is filed under the name uncultured bacterium. Its description in RNAcentral is "partial 16S ribosomal RNA". It matches the Rfam family "Bacterial small subunit ribosomal RNA", at positions 28 to 507 of the family's 1533-position model. The record is from RNAcentral.
GAUAAACGCUGGCGGCGCACAUAAGACAUGCAAGUUGAACGGACUUAAUCGAAAUAUUUAUCUUUUGAAGCGGUUAGUGGCGGACUGGUGAGUAACGCGUAAGGAACCUGCCUAUUAGAGGGGAAUAACAGUGAGAAAUCAUUGCUAAUACCGCAUAUGCCAUAGAUAUCACAUGAUAACAGUGGGAAAGGAGCAAUCCGCUAAUAGAUGGCCUUGCGUCUGGUUAGAUAGUUGGUGGGGUAACGGCCUACCAAGUCGACGAUCAGUAGCCGGACUGAGAGGUUGAACGGCCACAUUGGGACUGAGAUACGGCCCAGACUCCUACGGGAGGCAGCAGUCGGGAAUAUUGCGCAAUGGAGGAAACUCGGACGCAGUGACGCCGCGUAUAGGAAGAAGGUUUUCGGAUUGUAAACUAUUGUCGUUAGGGAAGAGAAAGGACAGUACCUAAGGAGGAAGCUCCGGCUAACUACGUG